This 465-nucleotide ribosomal RNA is filed under the name Vreelandella stevensii. RNAcentral describes it as "partial 16S ribosomal RNA". It matches the Rfam family "Bacterial small subunit ribosomal RNA", at positions 338 to 795 of the family's 1533-position model. The record is from RNAcentral. Lineage: Bacteria; Pseudomonadati; Pseudomonadota; Gammaproteobacteria; Oceanospirillales; Halomonadaceae.
CCUACGGGUGGCAGCAGUGGGGAAUAUUGGACAAUGGGCGAAAGCCUGAUCCAGCCAUGCCGCGUGUGUGAAGAAGGCCUUCGGGUUGUAAAGCACUUUCAGUGGGGAAGAAAGCCUUGGGGCUAAUACCCUCGAGGAAGGACAUCACCCACAGAAGAAGCACCGGCUAACUCCGUGCCAGCAGCCGCGGUAAUACGGAGGGUGCGAGCGUUAAUCGGAAUUACUGGGCGUAAAGCGCGCGUAGGCGGUCUGAUAAGCCGGUUGUGAAAGCCCCGGGCUCAACCUGGGAACGGCAUCCGGAACUGUCAGGCUAGAGUGUAGGAGAGGAAGGUAGAAUUCCCGGUGUAGCGGUGAAAUGCGUAGAGAUCGGGAGGAAUACCAGUGGCGAAGGCGGCCUUCUGGACUGACACUGACGCUGAGGUGCGAAAGCGUGGGUAGCAAACAGGAUUAGAUACCCCGGUAGUC